Molecule: small nucleolar RNA, 140 nt
Organism: Apodemus sylvaticus (European woodmouse)
Lineage: Eukaryota; Metazoa; Chordata; Mammalia; Rodentia; Muridae
Product: small nucleolar RNA SNORA48
Exons: 1
Source: RefSeq, a predicted model, not a curated record
UCCCCCAGCACUGGGCAAAGAGACACCUUGCUGUUGGUGUUCUUCUAUCAGUCAGGGGCAGAGCAGAUGGUAGUCCUUUGUUCAUCCUAGCCAGAUGCCUGGCUUUGUGGCCAAAGCUGUUUUAUGCCUAGGACUCAUAA